Molecule: ribosomal RNA, 496 nt
Filed under: uncultured bacterium
Lineage: Bacteria
Description: partial 16S ribosomal RNA
Rfam family: Bacterial small subunit ribosomal RNA
Source: RNAcentral
GAUGAACGCUGGCGGCGUGCCUAAUACAUGCAAGUCGAGCGAACAGAUGAGGAGCUUGCUCCUCCGACGUUAGCGGCGGACGGGUGAGUAACACGUGGAUAACCUACCUAUAAGACUGGGAUAACUUCGGGAAACCGGAGCUAAUACCGGAUAAUAUAUUGAACCGCAUGGUUCAAUAGUGAAAGACGGUUUUGCUGUCACUUAUAGAUGGAUCCGCGCCGCAUUAGCUAGUUGGUAAGGUAACGGCUUACCAAGGCAACGAUGCGUAGCCGACCUGAGAGGGUGAUCGGCCACACUGGAACUGAGACACGGUCCAGACUCCUACGGGAGGCAGCAGUAGGGAAUCUUCCGCAAUGGGCGAAAGCCUGACGGAGCAACGCCGCGUGAGUGAUGAAGGUCUUCGGAUCGUAAAACUCUGUUAUUAGGGAAGAACAAAUGUGUAAGUAACGAUGCACGUCUUGACGGUACCUAAGCAGAAAGCCACGGCUAACUACGU